This 716-nucleotide ribosomal RNA is filed under the name uncultured Staphylococcus sp. RNAcentral describes it as "bacterial SSU rRNA". It matches the Rfam family "Bacterial small subunit ribosomal RNA", at positions 61 to 759 of the family's 1533-position model. Lineage: Bacteria; Bacillati; Bacillota; Bacilli; Caryophanales; Staphylococcaceae. The record is from RNAcentral.
GUCGAGCGAACGGACGAGAAGCUUGCUUCUCUGAUGUUAGCGGCGGACGGGUGAGUAACACGUGGAUAACCUACCUAUAAGACUGGGAUAACUUCGGGAAACCGGAGCUAAUACCGGAUGAUAUCUUGAACCGCAUGGUUCAAAAGUGAAAGACGGUCUUGCUGUCACUUAUAGAUGGAUCCGCGCUGCAUUAGCUAGUUGGUAAGGUAACGGCUUACCAAGGCAACGAUGCAUAGCCGACCUGAGAGGGUGAUCGGCCACACUGGAACUGAGACACGGUCCAGACUCCUACGGGAGGCAGCAGUAGGGAAUCUUCCGCAAUGGGCGAAAGCCUGACGGAGCAACGCCGCGUGAGUGAUGAAGGUCUUCGGAUCGUAAAACUCUGUUAUUAGGGAAGAACAUAUGUGUAAGUAACUGUGCACAUCUUGACGGUACCUAAUCAGAAAGCCACGGCUAACUACGUGCCAGCAGCCGCGGUAAUACGUAGGUGGCAAGCGUUAUCCGGAAUUAUUGGGCGUAAAGCGCGCGUAGGCGGUUUUUUAAGUCUGAUGUGAAAGCCCACGGCUCAACCGUGGAGGGUCAUUGGAAACUGGAAAACUUGAGUGCAGAAGAGGAAAGUGGAAUUCCAUGUGUAGCGGUGAAAUGCGCAGAGAUAUGGAGGAACACCAGUGGCGAAGGCGACUUUCUGGUCUGUAACUGACGCUGAUGUGCGAAAG